This 420-nucleotide ribosomal RNA is filed under the name uncultured archaeon. RNAcentral's name for it is "bacterial SSU rRNA". It matches the Rfam family "Archaeal small subunit ribosomal RNA", at positions 459 to 878 of the family's 1478-position model. The record is from RNAcentral.
CAGCCGCCGCGGUAAAACCAGCACCUCAAGUGGUCAGGAUGAUUAUUGGGCCUAAAGCAUCCGUAGCCCGUUUUGUAAGUUUUCGGUUAAAUCCAUGCGCUUAACGUAUGGGCUGCCGGGAAUACUGCAUAACUAGGAAGUGGGAGAGGUAGACGGUACUCGGUAGGAAGGGGUAAAAUCCUUUGAUCUAUUGAUGACCACCUGUGGCGAAGGCGGUCUACCAGAACACGUUCGACGGUGAGGGAUGAAAGCUGGGGGAGCAAACCGGAUUAGAUACCCGGGUAGUCCCAGCUGUAAACUAUGCAAACUCAGUGAUGCAUUGGCUUAUGGCCAAUGCAGUGCUGCAGGGAAGCCGUUAAGUUUGCCGCCUGGGAAGUACGUACGCAAGUAUGAAACUUAAAGGAAUUGGCGGGGGGAGCA